GGGGACGCAUUGAUUCGACGGAAGCGCACCUUGACAAGCGGCAAGCCGACUUUGACUCAAAGUCGUAAAACAGGGGUUAAAACACAACUGACGCUAAUACAGCUUCAGACAGCGUAGUCAGCGAUGACUAUGCUUCAGCAGCCUUUAACUACGCAGUAGUUCAGGCCUAAACUGACAUUUACUCAUGAUUUGGCUCGGUGGAUCGGAGUAGGUGGAAACACAGCCGGGAUGCACCUCUAAAUUUGAGGCAAUUUAGAGCCAAGCUUUAGUCUCAAAAACCAAAACCUCCGACUUUACCGUUGGAGUAAGCUUGUAGAUGCUUGUUCCAUGUGUUUUUCGGACGAGGAGUCACUCUCCUCCGUCUCCACAA
RNAcentral lists this transfer-messenger RNA (370 nucleotides) under Patescibacteria group. Its description in RNAcentral is "f Chisholmbacteraceae X1 Standard tmRNA". It matches the Rfam family "transfer-messenger RNA". Rfam says of the family: Bacterial tmRNA, also known as 10Sa RNA or SsrA, is named for its dual tRNA and mRNA-like properties. The record is from RNAcentral. RNAcentral also lists the same sequence under 1 other name.